GGCUUUUAAAGGAAAAAAGUCGAUCCGUUGGUCUUAGGAACCAAAGACUCUUGGUGCAACUCCAAGUAAAAGCU
RNAcentral lists this transfer RNA (74 nucleotides) under Bombina maxima (large-webbed bell toad). Its description in RNAcentral is "tRNA-Leu". It matches the Rfam family "tRNA". From Rfam's summary of the family: Transfer RNA (tRNA) molecules are approximately 80 nucleotides in length. Their secondary structure includes four short double-helical elements and three loops (D, anti-codon, and T loops). The record is from RNAcentral. Lineage: Eukaryota; Metazoa; Chordata; Amphibia; Anura; Bombinatoridae.